GUUGCAUGGCUGUCGUCAGCUCGUGUCGUGAGAUGUUCGGUUAAGUCCGCUAACGAGCGCAACCUCGUCGUAUGUUAUAUGUGUCAUACGAGACUGCCGGUAAAAAGCCGGAGGAAGGUGAGGAUGAUGUCAAGUCAGCAUGACCUUUAUAUCCAGGGCUACACACACGCUACAAUGGUCUGUACAAUGGGUAGCCAAGCCGCGAGGCGGAGCCAAUCCUCAAAGUCUGUCUCAGUUCAGAUUGUAGGCUGCAACUCGCCUGCAUGAAGUUGGAGUUGCUAGUAAACGCAGGUCAGCUAUACUGCGUUGAAUACGUUCCCGGGGUUU
RNAcentral lists this ribosomal RNA (327 nucleotides) under uncultured Anaerolineaceae bacterium. Its description in RNAcentral is "bacterial SSU rRNA". It matches the Rfam family "Bacterial small subunit ribosomal RNA", at positions 1040 to 1382 of the family's 1533-position model. The record is from RNAcentral. Lineage: Bacteria; Bacillati; Chloroflexota; Anaerolineae; Anaerolineales; Anaerolineaceae.